This 868-nucleotide ribosomal RNA is filed under the name uncultured archaeon. RNAcentral describes it as "bacterial SSU rRNA". It matches the Rfam family "Archaeal small subunit ribosomal RNA", at positions 23 to 899 of the family's 1478-position model. The record is from RNAcentral.
CCGACUGCUAUCAGAGUGGGACUAAGCCAUGCGAGUUGACGUAGUAAUACGUAGCGAACGGCUCAGUAACACGUAGUCAACAUGCCCAGGGGACGUGGAUAACCUCGGGAAACUGAGAAUAAACCGCGAUAGGUCACAAUUUCUGGAAUGGAUUUUGGCUUAAAUCUACAUGGCCCCUGGAUUGGACUGCGGCCGAUCAGGCUGUUGGUGAGGUAAUGGCCCACCAAACCUGUAACCGGUACGGGCUCUGAGAGGAGGAGCCCGGAGAUGGGCACUGAGACAAGGGCCCAGGCCCUAUGGGGCGCAGCAGGCGCGAAACCUCUGCAAUGGGCGAAAGCCUGACAGGGUUACUCUGAGUGAUUUCCGCUAAGGGGAUCUUUUGACACCUCUAAAAAUGGUGUAGAAUAAGGGGUGGGCAAGUCUGGUGUCAGCCGCCGCGGUAAUACCAGCACCCCGAGUGGUCGGGACGAUUAUUGGGCCUAAAGCAUCCGUAGCCGGUUCUGCAAGUCUUCCGUUAAAUCCAGCCGCUCAACGGAUGGGCUGCGGAAGAUACUAUAGGACUAGGAGGCGGGAGAGGCAAGCGGUACUCAGUGGGUAGGGGUAAAAUCCUUUGAUCCAUUGAAGACCACCAGUGGCGAAGGCGGCUUGCCAGAACGCGCUCGACGGUGAGGGAUGAAAGCUGGGGGAGCAAACCGGAUUAGAUACCCGGGUAGUCCCAGCUGUAAACGAUGCAGACUCGGUGAUGGGCCAGCCUUGUGCUAGCCCAGUGCCGCAGGGAAGCCGUUAAGUCUGCCGCCUGGGGAGUACGGUCGCAAGACUGAAACUUAAAGGAAUUGGCGGGGGAGCACCCACAGGGGUGAAGCCUGCG